UCCGGCGGGAAGCUGGGGGGUCCACCCUCCAAGGCUAAAUACACUUGGCGACCGACAGUGAACAAGUACCGUGAGGGAAAGGUGAAAAGUACCCCGUUGAGGGGAGUGAAAUAGAACCUGAAACCGUAAGCCUACAAGCAGUUGGAGGGCUAAUGGCGUGUUGGUGCUCUGCAGAGAUGCAGGUGCGCAGCGCUAGGCCUGACAGCGUGCCUCUUGGAGAAUGAGCCUGCGAGUUAAUCUUUGUAGCGAGGUUAAGGGAGAGACACCCGAAGCCGUAGCGAAAGCGAGUCUGAAAAGGGCGACGAGUUGCAAGGAUUAGACACGAAACCGGGUGAGCUACCCAUGGCCAGGGUGAAACGUGUGUAAAAGCACGUGAAGGCCCGAACCUACUAAUGUUACAAAAUUAGGGGAUGAGCUGUGGGUAGAGGUGAUAUGCCAAACGAACUCGGAGAUAGCUUGUUCUCCCCGAAAUAGCUAUAGGGCUAGCGCCAUCUGUUAAACUACGGAGGUAGAGCACUGAAUGAGCUAAGGGGCUUAGAGCUUACUGAACUCAAUCAAACUCCGAAUGCCGUAGUUAUAGAGGAUGGUAGUCGGACUACGGGUGAUGAGAUUCGUGGUCAAAAGGGAAACAGCCCAGACCAUCGGCUAAGGUCCCCAAAUUCAAGCUAAGUGGGAAACGAUGUGGAGUUACUGAAACAACCAGGAGGUUGGCUUAGAAGCAGCCACCCUUCAAAGAGUGCGUAAUAGCUCACUGGUCUAGUGAUUCUGCGCGGAAAACUUAACGGGGCUAAGCUUGAUACCGAAGCCAUGGGAUUCUUCUUAGGAAGGAUCGGUAGGGGAGCGUUCCGCCAGCGGAGAAGGCAUACCGUGAGGAGUGCUGGAGUGGGCGGAAGUGAGAAUGCAGGCAUGAGUAGCGUAAAACACGUGAGAACCGUGUUCACCGAAAAUCUAAGGUUUCCGACGCCAGGUCAAUCCGCGUCGGGUUAGUCAGGUCCUUAGGCGAGGCCGAAAGGCGUAGCUGAUGGCAACCCGGUCAACAUUCCGGGACCACUUGAUUGGAGCGAAGAGGGGACGCAGGGAGGCAGGCCGGCCCGCGAUUGGUGGUGCGGGUGCAUGGUACGGCAGGCGAUGAGACCGGUAGGCAAAUCCGCCGGUUGAGCUGAGGUACCGUGGCGAGCCCCAGAGGCAUAAGCGAGUUGAGCCUCACUGCCGAGAAAAGCCUCUAAGUGAUGAAGAUCGAGUGCCUGUACCGCAAACCGACACCGGUAGAUGGGUAGAGAAUACCAAGGUGAACGGGAGAACCUUCGUUAAGGAACUAGGCAACAUAGCCCCGUAACUUCGGGAGAAGGGGUGCCUUCCCUUGUGAUGAAAAGAGCGAGGGGAGGUCGCAGCGAAGCGGCUCUAGUGACUGGUUAACAAAACCACAGGUCUCUGCGAAGUCGAAAGACGACGUAUAGGGGCUGACGCCUGCCCAGUGCCGGAAGGUUAAGGGGAAGGGUUAGCGCAAGCGAAGCUCAGAACCGAAGCCCCGGUGAACGGCGGCCGUAACUAUAACGGUCCUAAGGUAGCGAAAUUCCUUGUCGGGUAAGUUCCGACCCGCACGAA
This 1605-nucleotide ribosomal RNA is filed under the name activated sludge metagenome. Its description in RNAcentral is "bacterial LSU rRNA". It matches the Rfam family "Bacterial large subunit ribosomal RNA", at positions 432 to 1996 of the family's 2925-position model. The record is from RNAcentral.